This 103-nucleotide transfer RNA is filed under the name Daldinia sp. FL1419. RNAcentral's name for it is "tRNA-Met". It matches the Rfam family "tRNA". Rfam says of the family: Transfer RNA (tRNA) molecules are approximately 80 nucleotides in length. Their secondary structure includes four short double-helical elements and three loops (D, anti-codon, and T loops). The record is from RNAcentral. Lineage: Eukaryota; Fungi; Ascomycota; Sordariomycetes; Xylariales; Hypoxylaceae.
GUCUUGGUGGCUCAGUUGGCUAGAGCGUUGGUCUCAUAUUUACUAUGAUUCAACCACAGGUUGGGCUAUCCAAAGGUCGUGAGUUCGAGCCUCACCCAGGACA